GGGCCCUGAGGGUGGGAGCACCCUCAGGGCACUAUAGUGCCAGGAAAAAAAGUAUGUUUUCUUGGCACUAUAGUGGUCCUUUAACCCUAGAUGGACCUGGCACCCAGACCACUUCAUUGAGCUGAAGUAGUCUGGGUGCCUAUAGUGGUCCUUUUAAGGAAAAUAGUUAAAGAUAAAUGAAUUUAGUUGUUCUGAUUUACAGAAUAUAUAAUGUGUCUAGGUUUUUAAAGGGACACCUGAACAACUUUAGCUUAAUUAAGUAGUUUUGGUGUAUAGAACAUGCCCCUGCAGCCUCGCAAUCCUCUGCCAUUUAGGAGUUAAAUCCCUUUGUUUAUGAACCAUAGUCACAACUCCCUGCAUGUGACUUGCACAGCCUUCCAUAAACACUUCCUGUAAAGAGAGCCCUAUUUAAGCUUUCUUUAUUGCAAGUUCUGUUUAAUUAAGAUUUUCUUAUCCCCUGCUAUGUUAAUAGCUUGCUAGACCCUGCAAGAGCCUCCUGUAUGUGAUUAAAGUUCAAUUUAGAGAUUGAGAUACAAUUAUUUAAGGUAAAUUACAUCUGUUUGAAAGUGAAACCAGUUUUAUUUUCAUGCAGGCUCUGUCAGUCAUAGCCAGGGGAGGUGUGGCUAGGGCUGCAUUAACAGAAACAAAGUGAUUUAACUCCUCAAUGACAGUGAAUUGAGCAGUGAAAUUGCAGGGGAAUGAUCUAUACACUAAAACGGAUUUAUUUAGCUAAAGAAAUUUAGGUGACUAUAAUGUUCCUUUAAGUUUUGGGGUUUUUUUUGUUUUGUUUUUGGUAGUUACAGGUCACAAAACACAAGGAGUAAAAUAAACUUUUAAUUUGGAACGAUUUUUAGAAUUUGGUAUGUUUGUCUUGUAAGCUUAAUAGCCAUAAAAGAAAACAAAAUUGCUGCACAAAAAUAUAUUUAUAUAAAGUAGACAUCACAGGCUAUUUACCUAAGGUCAUUUUGAUACUUUUUACGUCGCCAUUUCACCGCCAAUCUCUGCUAAAUAUUGGAGUAGCAUUGUGAUUGUUUUUGGUUUUUGACAUACAAACUUUUCUCAUGUGUAUUUUGUAAAGUUGGUGUGUGCUAUUCCUGUACAAAACUUUAUUUUGUGUUCCGCUACAUCUGCGGAGUAAAAUGAAACCCCCAUUGUAUAUAUUUGGUACUAUUUUGUUAAGCUAUAGUGCCACAUAGGAGACCUGUCCAUUUCAGUAUUUACAGUUGAAUUUUGAGAUUAAUUUUUUGGGCCUAUGCUUCAAUUUGGGGUAUUAUAGUAGUUUGACUGUUCCAAAAACCCCACAAAGGCCUACCAUUUGUAAACGUAGACACUCCAGGGUAUCUCAUAUUGUGCUUUAACAUGCCCCCAUUUUUUUAACAAUAUAUGUAAAAGUAUGUGGUAAAAAAAAAAAAAAAAUUGGGGGCAGUUUUUUUACAUACGAAUUACAUUUUUGCUGGGCAUUUUGUAUAUUUGAUAAGUGCCACUAUGAUCAAAGCCCCAAAUUUAUUCUCAGCCAAGUCUAAGUAAAAUGAUACCCCCAAUGAAUGUCUUUGGCACUAUUUUGUGAAGCUUCAGUGCCAUAUAGGAGACCUGUCCAUCUCAGUAUUUACAGUAGAAUUUGAGAGACUGAUUUGAUGAGUCCAUGUUUCAAUUUGGGGCAUUAUAGCAGUUUGACACAAACGCCUACCAUUUGUAAAAGUAGACCCCCCACGGUAUUUCAAAAGGCAUAUUUUAAACCUUAUGUGUACCUUUUUCAGGGAUAUGUGGAUGUUGAAGGGGCACACUGGAGACCAAGCCAUAUUGGUUUUUACCAAACUUUGAAUUUUGACGCUGGGCCAAUAUGCGAUUUUAGCAGGUUUUUAAUUCAAACUACCCCACAAAAGCCUACCAUUUUUUAAAGUAGACACUCCAGGGUAUAUCAAAAGGCAUAUUUUAAACCUUAGUGUAGGAUAAUUCUAAUGCUAGUUUGUACCAAGUAUAGUUGGAAUUACCAUUUUCCUGCCUUUUUGACACACACUUGGAGAUCUUACUGUAUAUUUUGCAAUCCCCAUGUGUGCUACGGCAGUAUGUCACCUAAUAUGUUGCUCAGCUAUGUCGUCUUAGUACAACAAUAACUUCAUGUGUACCUGUGACGGACCGCCUGGCACCCCGACCAGGUGCCUCUGCCAAUCAAUGCUCCUAGUGCUCACCGAGGACUCCAAGCACUCCACCAGACCCCAUCAGCACUGUAGUCCGCACUUCCAGCGUUACAGCUUGUCUGGGGUCAUGCCGUCCUCAGCCCACCCUGGACCCAAGACCAGGAUCCAGCUUCCAGUGGUUGAACCUCUCCUACUCCAGAGAGUAUAGCAGGAACAUCUCUCAUAAGAGCUAGUGAUUAUAGCAAUCCAAAGAACAAUCCCAAGAGCAGGGAUUAUAGCUGCUAUUGCUUUCCCCUACAAGCACAAGACGAGGCUCUGUGUUAAGGGUAAACAGGAACUCAUUUUAAUUGUGCCACACUUGACCUUAUAUGACAAUCCCCAUGCAAGGAGCACUCCAACAUGGACCUUAUUGUAGACUUACAAAGUCACGGACCAAUAAUAAGUGUUACAAUGCAUGACACUCCCACACAUAGCAUACAAUCCCUCCCCUCUGCCUGGGAGAUAAUUGAGUCAGAUACUGUGUUAACUCAAUUAUCUCUAGGCAGAAAAAACACAUUUUACAGAAACACCCCACAAAUGUUACAUCCCCUGAUAGCCCUGAUCUGGGUGACCAACAUAUCCAAAACUUACCCAGAUCAGUUCAGGGGUUCACGAAUUUCCUGGAAGUCUUAUUUUGACCGACCGCACGCUUGGUUCCAUGCCCAAAACAGUUCCAGGUAAUCCGUCUACUUCAGGGAUUCGAAGUGCAAUAUAAAACGUAGAGAGUGGACUAUCUCUCCUUCGGGAGCUUAUUCUCACCAAACGCCAUUUGACUCCCAUUCGAAUAACCGAACAUCUGUGGAAGGUAAGUAGUGAGCAUUGUUCGUGCCGUCGAGUGUCCGAUUUGAGUUCCAUGUACUCGACGACCAAACACCACUUAUUGUGCUCGCGGCUUAAGAUGGCCGCCGCCACGUUUUUGAAUGCCGUUUUGAACCGCUUCGGGAGUUCGAAGUGCUGCUUCACAAACCGUUUAUUACAGGGGCCAUAGUCACAGAGCAGGAGGCUGGCAAACAGGCUCCUCCAAUCGCCACAGUACCUUUUUCAGGGAUAUGUGGAUGUUGUAGGGGCACAUUUGAGACACACCAAUUUCAUAUUUUUCAAACGUGGAUGUUGGGCCUAAGUCUCAUUUUAGCAGCUGAUGAUUGCAAAUUACCUCUCAAAGGCCACAUCUAUUUUUAAAUAUAAGCAGCUCAUCAAUUCAAAUUAUGAACAAGUGCAUACUAUUUGCUGUAAAAGGGGGGUUUUGGUUUAAAUGGAAAUAUUAAAUGUUCUAUUAUGGCCUUAUAUACCUCACCAACUGCUAAGGUGGUAGGGGCCAGAUUUUCCUCUGAAUGGUUCCAAUUAAAGAAUGGAACCAGACAGGGGUGCCCGCUCUCACCACUUAUAUCUUAUGGUUAUUGAACCUCUGGCAAAAGCAAUAAGAGCCAACAAUCGAAUAAAAGGACUGCAUAUACCAAACGAUGGUGUCAAAUUAACAAUGUAUGCAGACGACAUUGUUCUUACCCUGAGUGACCCUAUAAGUUCUAUGAGUGAGUUGAUACUUCUUAUGGAAGAGUUAUCAAGUCUCUCAGGUUAUAAAUUGAAUUUAGACAAAUCUGUUGCACUGCCGCUUAAUUUGCUUUGGCAUGUCGUCAAAAACUUAAAGCAGGCUUUUGGCUUCACUGUUCGGGAAUCAUUUAGCUGUUUAGGGAUUGAAAUCACAAGGGAGCCCUCGAAAAUAAUGGAAAUUAACUUCAUGUUGCUACUAAAGGAUACUGGUAAAAAGAAAAUGAAAGAAUGGAGAAAUACUGAAGUUUCAUGGUGGGGGAGAAUAAAUACGGUUAGAUCAUACAUUUUCCCAAAGUGGAUUUACUUGUUUCAAAUGGUCCCUAUAAAAUGUUAAAAUAUUUCUCUACACUAGAUGAAGAAUAUAAUUUAGGAAGCAGAGAAAUCUUUACCUUUAGAAUAAAGAGUUUUUUUUACGUAAACCUCUAGCACUCAAAACCGAUAAAUUGAAUAUUCUGGAAAAAUGUGUGACAAAAACAACAUUAACUAAGUUAAUAGCGGGAUACAUGGAUUUGAUUAGUAAUGAUACCGAGGUAUACAUGAAACCCACUUUCAAUAAAUGGGAAAAAGAUCUAACUAUUCAUCUUUCUCAUAAAGACUGGCUAAAUUCAUGGAAUGUGGUAUACAAAAACAUUCACUGUCUUAACUUAUUGGAGUGUCACUUUAAACUCCUAAAUCGUUGGUUCUUAGUCCCAAGCAGAAUAUCUAAGUACGUCUCAGAUAAAGAAAAUAGAUGUUGGAGAUGCAAACACCAUAUAGAAGACUUUCUUCAUAUAUGGUGGGAGUGCUUCCCUAUCAAAUAUUUUGGGAUAUGAUUUGAAAGUAAGAUCUUAACAAUAACUAGUACUUCCUUUUCUUUCGGUGCCGACCUUGCUUUAUUACAGCUUAAUGUAAAACAAAACUUUAGUAGUUAUACUCAUUUAGUUACUUUUAUACUGGUAGCUGCAAAAAUUAUGAAAGCUAGAGAUUGGAAAGUAUCGGAUACCCCUAUCUGGUUUAUGAUGAAGGAGCAAAUGAAAUACCAACUAAAGAUGGAAGGGGGCAUUAUGACAGAUUCAUACGACAUGAUGAAUGUAUGGUUAACACAAAUAGAACAAGUUUAGAGGACACUUGCUUUUAAAGAUUCUCUCUCCCAGUUAUGAAAACAAUGUCUAGUGUAUGUGUUUAGCUUGUAGUGAAGGCAAGAUUAAGGUUCUCCAGGAACUCCCCUUCCUGAAUAGGGCCUAACCCAACAUCAGAUGAUACAGCUUGGUCAUCUUGUGGUGUCACAUAUGUCCUAUGUUUUGUAGUUUGUCUGCAUGUAUAUUUCUUGCAAUAUGGAUGUAAUGUAUUUUCUACUGAUUUAUCAAUGCUAUACAUGUUGUGGCAAACUUACUUCCCUGUGUGUGUUUGUCCAGGAUCUUUUGGCAACUGCACAGUCCUCUAGGGUAAGGAAGCCCGGCCAAGACAAAGUCCAGUUUCAAAGGACUCUGGCCUGUUUAUUUUCUGUUGUUAAGAAGUAACAGGAUACAACAAGCAGCAAACCUUCUUUCAAGCCCUCUCUCAAUCGAAUAACCCAGAUAUUUUGCCUCUUCCAAACCUAUAGUACGCUUAGAAGGGUUAGCAGUUAAACCAGCUAGGUGGUUAGAGUGCAGUACUGCCUGCACUUUGGGAAGAUGUGAAGCCCAGUCAGAACUGUGAAUGACUAUGUCAUCUAAGUAUGCGGCCGCAUAACGGCUAUGAGGCUUCAAAAUCCUAUCAAUCAGUCUUUUAAAAGUGGCAGGGGCCCCAUGUAACCCAAAUGGUAGCACCUUGUAGUAUUGUAUUGAUGUCGAAAAAAGCAGUUUUUUUCUUUUUGCUCUGUCUGUAAGAGGUACUUGCCAAUAACCCUUUGUCAGGUCCAAAGUAGUCAGGUACCAAGCCUUACCUAGUUCAUCAACCCUAGGCAUUGGAUAAGCACCAAACUUCACCAAAAAUCAUGGGCUACUUUUCCUGGAGCCCCCCACAAGUCUAAAAAUUGGGGGAAAUCCCUUCCCAACACCCUGUCAUAAGCCAAUUUAUCCACCACCCCUGCUCUAUGAUUCACAGUACCAAAAGGGCUUUCAAAUUUCAUCAAAACUGUAGGAUAUUCACAUUUGUCACCAUAAACACAAAUAAUACCAAUUUUCUGAAAUGCAUCAACAUCGGCUUCAGAUACAAGGCAUUUUGUUAUCAAUGUAGCCAUACUGCCGGAGUCUAAUAGAGCUCUAACCUCUUUCCCAUUCACCUUUAUAGAACAUAGCUGCGGAUUGUGACUACAGUUGGCUACAGCAGAUUCCAUAUAAUUCAGCAGACAAGACAAUUGUACAUCCUGAUUAAUCAUAUUGCAUUGCAUAGGUUCAUCAAUCAAGGGACAGUCUCUAGCUUUAUGUCCAAGUUCAUUACACCGGAAACAUUUAAUAUUCUAAUCUGUCCCCCACCUCGACCCUGUUCCAGGUUUAACAUUUCUAGGCAUAAGCGUAUGGGAUCUCUGAGAAUAUGUCUCUUGUUCCUAUGUGUCUCUGAAACCUUGAAAAAUCUUACCAGGUCUUUCAGCAGCUGGAGUCUUAACUCUCUGCAUAGACUUUGUUUUGUUAAGCCACUGUGUCAUUUGCAGCAACAUAUCUUUCCACCAAACUAAUUAACUCAUCGGCUGAUUGUGGAUCACUCUGACUGACUGACUGACCCAUCGACGCAGUGAAUCUGUCCAUCACAAGAAGUUCCAGGAUGUGACUUGCUGUAUUUAUUUCUGGUUGUAGCCACUUUCUAGCAAGAUGUAUCAGGUCAAACAUCUGGGAGCAGAUAGGUUUCUCUUGGUCGAAAGUCCAGGCAUGAAAUCUUUGGGCAUGAACUGCCAUAGUGUCACGUAUUCAUCCGCUUAUAAAAAGGGGAGGGGAAGUGGGGGUGAAG
This is a non-coding RNA of Pelobates cultripes (western spadefoot toad), 6629 nucleotides long. The record is from the annotation of a GenBank genome assembly. Lineage: Eukaryota; Metazoa; Chordata; Amphibia; Anura; Pelobatidae.